AGUGAACGCUGGCGGCGUGCUUAACACAUGCAAGUCGAACGAGAACGGGUUAUAGCUUGCUAUAAUUGUCAGCUAAGUGGCGCACGGGUGAGUAAUGUAUAGGUAAUAUGCCUCUUACUAAGGGAUAACAAAUGGAAACGUUUGCUAAUACCUUAUACUCCUUAUUAACAGAAGUUAAUAAGGGAAAGAUUUAUUGGUAAGAGAUUAGCCUGUAUUGUAUCAGUUAGUUGGUGGGGUAACGGCUUACCAAGACUAUGACACAUAACUGGUUUGAGAGGCUAGUCAGGAACACUGGAACUGAGACACGGUCCAGACUCCUACGGGUGGCAGCAGUGGGGAAUAUUGCACAAUGGACGAAAGUCUGAUGCAGCAACGCCGCGUGGAGGAUGACACAUUUCGGUGCGUAAACUCCUUUUAUAUGAGAAGAUAAUGACGGUAUUAUAUGAAUAAGCACCGGCUAACUCCGUGCCAGCCGCCGCCGUAA
Molecule: ribosomal RNA, 484 nt
Filed under: uncultured bacterium
Lineage: Bacteria
Description: partial 16S ribosomal RNA
Rfam family: Bacterial small subunit ribosomal RNA
Source: RNAcentral